Molecule: long non-coding RNA, 6148 nt
Organism: Phasianus colchicus (ring-necked pheasant)
Lineage: Eukaryota; Metazoa; Chordata; Aves; Galliformes; Phasianidae
Source: RefSeq, a predicted model, not a curated record
GGAAUGGCGCCGAGCGGGGCCGCCCCUCAGCACGGCGGCUCCUCCCCUGUGGGCACGGCGGCUGCCGCCUCGCAGCCACGCGGUGGCGAUGUGCGGUAAGGGUACCUGCAGCUCGCUCCGAGCCCUUCGGCUGGGCUGUGGAUGUGUCGAGAUCCUGACGUUGAUUGACUGCACAACAGUUCCUGAGAGAGCAGUGUGCUGAAAACCCCUGCUCCAGUUGGUGAUGUGCUGCCAAGGGCUGUUGGCUGGGUUCAGUAUCCAGGAGAGCUUCCCUCCCAUAGGAGCACAGCCACCUGUAAUACAACUCCAGGUGCUGUCGGGGCUCCUUUGGUUCUUCACACUGGCUCUCCCCCACCACGGCGUCCCAUCAAGCCUGGCCCCAAGGGAGAAGGUGCUUGUGGUGAGUUUACUGCCUAGCACUCCUCGUUCUGGUAUCGUGCUUGACCUUUCUCCAUCCACAGCCUCUCUCAUUGCUCUGAACUGUCUGAGUUCUCUGGGGCUGAGCUUUGUGAAGAUUUGCUCAGGGCACAAAUCAUAAGAUGAAGGGAAGCAUGUAAGUGUUCUAAGACUGUUGAAAGCAUCUGAUGACUCCUGUACCAUCAGGGCAAGAAGACUGUGGCUCUCAAAUUGAAGACCAAACACUUAGGGUCAACAGCAGCACUUUCCAGCCAAGGGCCAUGUUACCCAGAGUUCACUCUUUUUUUUUUUUGUUGAAAAUGCCAGAAUAAAAAACAACUCCUGGCUGAUUUAAUCGGGUCUGAUGUUAGCUGAACCAGGCAAUGGUCUCUAUUUGUCGUGACUGUCAUCUGCAGUUAUAAAUAACUGAUCACAGCAAACUGGCUCAGACAAAGCUCAAGAAAAGAUUGGAGCUUUGAGUAGCUAGCAGCAAUGCCAGCAUUGAUUCAGUCAGCUUUCUGCUGUGCCACCAGAUCUUCCUUAUGCCCUUAAGAGCUUCUUUCUCUUAGGGGUGGGGAAAGUCCGUGGUGUUUCUUCCCUCACACAUGCCAUUAUCUAAUUCCUCUCAAGUGAAUUGCAGAAUACUUGUAGCUGCCUAAGGCAUGGUGCAUAACUCUGAUGCUUGAGCCCUCGCUAUGCUGACAAGCAUCUUCAUUUCACCUCCUCUACUUCCUUUUCUUCAUCCCCUACCCCCAAGCUUUUUACAACCACAGCAAGCCCUGCAAGUGAAUCCCAGCCUUUGUGUUCACACCAGUCACCAGAAGCCUGCAGAUAACUGAAACAAUGACACCAUUUAUCACUCGCACAACAUGCCAGUAACCACAGUGCUAUGCUUUGCCUCUUAAAUCAUUGAAUGCGACAUAAAAAGUGCGAUUUACACAUGGCUCUUCAAUAUACCAACCUAGCACUUGCUUCCCUUUGUGCCUGAGUAGCAGAGGCUUACAGCUAAGCAGUGCAGUCUGCUGUGACAUCCACGUGUGACACUAUGGAGAGAAGGGGCUCUGACCAUGCAGGCCAGGUCACAAAAGCCUGCAUCCCUCCCUGGGAUGUGCGAAAUUUGUGCAGCAAGGUCGGUCCAGACUUUCUCUUCCAGACAACUUUAAGGAGGAAAACAAAAGGGUGGAGUAGAUUUUCUGCCUAAUCCAGGCUCUGAAUGUUUAGCAUAUGGGGUCAUAAAAUUUCCCUGAGCUGGCCAAGGGAAAAUCUGCCUGGUGCAGAUGCUGUACCAAAAAGAUCUGUGGAGGCCAUUAUAAAUCCCAGCAUGGGUAGGCCUGCAGCCAGGAGGAAAAUCCUUGUAUCGUCUAUAGACACAGGGGUUCUUAGCAGUGAGUGAUGGUGCCAGGUAGUCAAGCAGCUACCUGCUGUUUUUAUUUACAUUGGGCCUUGCUGUGGCCUCCACUGAUGUUCAAAAUCUUCAGAUCCACUUAAUGUCACUGCUCCCAUCCAUUGGGCAUCUUGUUUUCAAUGCAUAAGGUACUGCUUCAGAGGAGUUGACACAGCCCAUAGUCCAAGUUUCUUUUCCAGCAUGGUGUGAGUCCUAGACCUGAGGCCAUGUAGGAAAAUGAGAAAUGUGCUAUGGCUGCAGCAAAGGUUUCUAGGAGGUGUUCAAGCAGGGCUUCCCUCAGAGCAAGGAGAGCCACAAGGUCACACACACUGCAAUACAGCACCACUGCCCUCCACUCUGGCUGCACCCAACCUGAUGCUGCAAUCAGAUAAGGGAGUCUAAGCCAUCAGCAAAACUCCUCUCUUCCACUUUAUACCUUGCCAACUUUUACACACAUCACUUCCAGCCACUGGGAGAAGCCAGCUCUAACCUCUGGCAAACACAUCUCACAGCAAUGGAAACUGCAUUUCAGCUGAUCUGCAAAUUCUUCCUACCCGUUCUGCAUCCCACUGGGGAAGUCACAGGACUGUGUUUCAGAUGUGGGGUGAUGGGAGGCUGCUUAAAGAAGUUACUUCUGUUACUUAUAAAGUCACCACCGUCUCUAGACCAGGAGUAGGAGUUCAUGUACAUCCAUAUCCACUUGGUAAGGUCAUUAUAAUAAACCUGAAGAGGAAAACUGUCAAAAAGUACAAUUCUGUUUGCCUUCCCAGCAGUACCACAUAUGAAUUUGAUUUUCUGAUUGUAAAAAAAAAACAACAAAACUAUUAAAUCAUUUUCUGUUUAAGUCACCAUACUAACAUAAGAAACCCAGUGCACAUCCAUGGAUAGACCAUUGGAUAUGGUCUAUUUGCCCUUAGUGCAAAGACAAUAACCCUGUAAGUGGGUCCUUCAUCGUGGCAGAGCAGCAUCAGUGCAGUGAGGGGCCCAGGAGGAAAGAGAAACAGGCAAGAAAGAUCUGACCAUGAGCUCCAGAGCAGGAAUUCAGCAAACUUGUUGACAUCACUGAAGUCGGGCAAAUUCCUCACCAAAAAUAAUAAUGAAUAAAAUGCCAUGAAUAUUUGCUCACAGAAAUGGAACUGUUAUACUUUGAAUAUGAUUUAUGCAAAUAAUAGAGCACAUGAUUUUGUGGGGGUAGGAGUGCUGGAGAAAACAGAGAGGAGUAAAAAGUUAUGGAAGGCAAACUGACAAAGGUUGGUCAGCCCCUUUGCUCCAACAGCUCUGCAGGGGAAAUCAGUCCCAUUGGGAAAAAGAGCUCCACACUGCCUAAUGAAGGGUUAAAAUCACCUGGUAGGAAGCGCAGUCCUGAAGGGAAACAAGUUUGUGGGGAGAAAGCAACACUCAGAGAAACAAAGUCUUGAUUUCAGUUCUUCAGCCUUUCCAUGCCAACCCUUCCAUGGCAGCACUGCCACUCCCAGCCCUGCAACCAUGGGGUCUGGGCUUGUCCUUACUCAAAGGAAAGCACCGUAAUCUCAUCCCUCUGCCUCUCCCCAGAGCGAAUGAGGCUGUUUAUUGGGAGGCCUGACUCUCCUGUACUUAAACCCACAGUUGCCAGGUUGGACUUUGCAGGAAUUUUUAUGGCUGAAUUGCACCUCAUGCUAGCAGGCGUUGAUAACCACACUGAGCAGCUCACAACAGCCUUGAAUUCUGGGCUCAGGCCAGCCUGUCCGUGUCUCCUGAGCUUCUGGGAUAAAGGAGGUCAUAACAACAGCCAGAGCAGAGGGAGUCUCCUAUGCUAAUGCUGAGCAGGCCGUGGCUUGUGCACAUAAAGAAGGCAAAAGGCAGAGAUGUCCUUGCUGCCAGGAACAUAAAAGGUGAGUUUAAGACCAGUUUUGGAUGAUCUCCUUUGUUGCCAGGCAGAAAAUAUGCCCAGAGUCCUUCUGUUCAGCUGGUAUCUGCUAGUAUCUGUAUGCAGCCUUGGCAUGACAGCUAGUGGCUCUGUGUACUCAAACAAAUGAAGCCCUUUAGCUGGAGUCAUCCUGGGAUUAUUGUUUUGUCAAAUAAGUUGCUUAGCUGGAAGUUUUGCUCCCCAUCCUGCCCUUACUUCUGACUUUCUCGCAGCUGAACUGCUUGGACCAAGUCACAGGCUGGAUCUGAGAAAAUAAAUGGCUGUGAAAAGUGCUACUCGGUGUUCCUUAAAUGCAAAAUGAUUUUUUUCUGCAAUUCAAAAUAAAUGCACUAAAUGCACAGCCUUCUUUCCAGCAACAUCAAAGAGGCAACAAGGACAUCUCCAAAUAAGUAAGAUAUGAUUCUCAGCUAGUACUGUUCAGGGGAAAUACAGUUAUUUCUAUCUGAUGAGAUCCAUCCCUAGAAUUUUAUGGUUAUUACAGCUAAAAAUCAAUUGUCCUUUCUUCCUGAGAGAUCUCCUGGCAGCCUCCUCCAUUGACCAGCAGCACCGCUCCCCAGCCACCUCCCACAGCCUUCCCAGCACCUGCUCCCCCAUCCAGGGGAGGAAUACAAAAGCAAGGGCAACCCAGUUCCUCUCCUUGCUUUGUAACAUUGCAUCCUUUUGCUCACGAGCCCCUAAUCUACUCUUCAACUAUUAAUAUCACUCAGGUUUUCCUUAUGGCAGGUGCUUCUGGGAGAUGGUUAAUAAUCACCAUGUGUGAACUCUCCUUGUCCUACAGAUGCAGCUCUGUGGGUUUUGCUUGCUGGGAGGUAUUCAAGCUGACUCUCUCCCUUUGAGCCUUUUGGUGGAAGAACAAUGUUUGCUGGCUUUCGUUCAGCUUUGAGCACAGCCCAGCCGCAGCUCAUCAAUGCGUCUGCAACAUAUCAGAGAAUAUAAAGCAGGCUCCUCUCACAGUGGUGCUUUGGUCGUGGAUAAAAAGCUGCAGUUAGCUUUUGCAAAUAUUACAAGAUGGCAAACGCCCUUCAAGUUUCACUUCUCAAACUGGAGAUGUGUUGUUCUGUAAGCCCAGCCAGUUUCUCCCAUAGAUCACAGAACUGGAAGCUUAUAUCUGCUGUACAAAGAAGUCUCCUCACGAGCAGCCAGGGAUGGUUCAUGUUGCACUGGAUUCUUAACUCACACGAGUUACUAAUCAAACAUGAAACAAGUGGAAUUGCAAAUAAUACAUAACAGGCCUAAGGCACAGAUCUUAGAACAGAAUUUGGGAAUGCUACUCAGCCCAACAGAAAUAAAUUGUCUAAACAUCUUUUAAAAAUCUUGGUCUUAGUGACUCUACUAUGAGUCAUUCAUUAGUACUCUAUAAUUUCCUCCCCAGUUGCAAUAACAGUUUCAGCUGCUUCACAUGAGCAGAAAUUUGCUGUCCUGUCUCACAGGUAUCAGUAUGGAAGUUUCUUUUCAGAAUGAGCCCCUCUGCAUAGUUGUUCUUUCAGAAGAUUUUGUUAUAUUGUUCAUGCUUCCUAUCUAAACAUCCUCUGCAUCACAGAAAACACCAAUGAACUGAGGGGGCUUUUUUCUCAUCCUCCAUAUGUUCCCACUGGAAGAUAUCUUUACAUAAUCAAGAGCAAAAUAAUUAAGGGAAAUUAUUGCAAUAUUCAGCUUGUUCUCCUGGUGCAGCAAGAAUGACCAGUUUAUAAGGAAUUGAGCAGCUGGCCUUAGGUCUCAUUGAAAGACCUAAUCUUAUUUUAAACACUUCUUCAUAAUACGUGUGCUGAACAUGAGCAUCUUCUCUGCCUUUCCAGCAGCAGCUCUCUGCACCCUUCCACCCUUCACUUCUCUGGUAGGUGUUUGCUUUCCCUCACUUUGACAGAGCUUGGGCACGUUGCUGGGGCAUCCAAUUCAAGCACAGUCCUUCCGAGCUGUGCACCAAGCACAUUUCUCUUCUUCUCUGAUACGGCCACAGUCAAACAGAAAACUAUUCAAACCUAGUUAGUUAUUAAAAGCCGUUGGUUAAUUGGUACUUGCUAAGGACCUUAGACUCCAUUUGAUUGUGUCCAUGAAUUCAUUGUACAGAGACAAAAGGCCUCAAGAGAAAAGUUUAAAAACGGACACAGAUCUUUCUAUUUAACUUUACCUGCUUAACUUAAUAAUGCUUUGUUCUCUACCAUUUGAUAGUAUGUCAUUUUCUUAUCAAGGAAAGAGAUAGGAAACUUCUUAAUGCUAACACGGGGAAGCACAUGUUUCCUCCUCUGGUAAUAAUUAAGAUGUGUUUAAGUUCAAAGGUGCUUCUUUGUGCCUGAGUUCUCGAAGGGCAGAUGUCAAGUCCUCUUAGUAAGAAGUCAGGCAAUAAGAAAUCGUCUUCUUUCUAAAGGAUUAAUCAAUAAGAUGAAGCAUGACCCAAUGCUUCCCCCUCUCUCACCUCCUGCUGAUGCUGACAGAGCUAAAAGCAAUGAGAACUGGCUGAGAAG